AGCGGCGGACGGGUGAGUAAUGCUUAGGAAUCUGCCUAUUAGUGGGGGACAACAUUCCGAAAGGAAUGCUAAUACCGCAUACGUCCUACGGGAGAAAGCAGGGGAUCUUCGGACCUUGCGCUAGUAGAUGAGCCUAAGUCGGAUUAGCUAGUUGGUGGGGUAAAGGCCUACCAAGGCGACGAUCUGUAGCGGGUCUGAGAGGAUGAUCCGCCACACUGGGACUGAGACACGGCCCAGACUCCUACGGGAGGCAGCAGUGGGGAAUAUUGGACAAUGGGGGGAACCCUGAUCCAGCCAUGCCGCGUGUGUGAAGAAGGCCUUAUGGUUGUAAAGCACUUUAAGCGAGGAGGAGGCUACUGAGGCUAAUACUCUUGGAUAGUGGACGUUACUCGCAGAAUAAGCACCGGCUAACUCUGUGCCAGCAGCCGCGGUAAUACAGAGGGUGCGAGCGUUAAUCGGAUUUACUGGGCGUAAAGCGUGCGUAGGCGGCUGAUUAAGUCGGAUGUGAAAUCCCUGAGCUUAACUUAGGAAUUGCAUUCGAUACUGGUCAGCUAGAGUAUGGGAGAGGAUGGUAGAAUUCCAGGUGUAGCGGUGAAAUGCGUAGAGAUCUGGAGGAAUACCGAUGGCGAAGGCAGCCAUCUGGCCUAAUACUGACGCUGAGGUACGAAAGCAUGGGGAGCAAACAGGAUUAGAUAUCCUGGUAGUCUAUGCCGUAAACGAUGUCUACUAGC
RNAcentral lists this ribosomal RNA (731 nucleotides) under uncultured bacterium. Its description in RNAcentral is "bacterial SSU rRNA". It matches the Rfam family "Bacterial small subunit ribosomal RNA", at positions 94 to 820 of the family's 1533-position model. The record is from RNAcentral.